Molecule: transfer RNA, 73 nt
Filed under: Patescibacteria group bacterium
Lineage: Bacteria
Description: tRNA-OTHER
Source: RNAcentral
GGGCCUGUAGCUAUGGUAGCUGGCAAAAAUCGCCAUUUUUGUUAAGCCGGUUCAAUUCCGGUCAGGUCCACCA